RNAcentral lists this ribosomal RNA (253 nucleotides) under uncultured bacterium. Its description in RNAcentral is "partial 16S ribosomal RNA". It matches the Rfam family "Bacterial small subunit ribosomal RNA", at positions 524 to 776 of the family's 1533-position model. The record is from RNAcentral.
UACGUAGGAGGCAAGCGUUAUCCGGAAUGACUGGGCGUAAAGGGUGCGUAGGUGGUUUGGCAAGUUAGUAGCGUAACUCCGGAGCUCAACUUCGGAACUACUACUAAAACUGUCGGACUUGAGUGCAGGAGGGGCAACUGGAAUUCCUAGUGUAGCGGUGGAAUGCGUAGAUAUUAGGAGGAACACCAGUGGCGAAGGCGAGUUGCUGGACUGUAACUGACACUGAGGCACGAAAGCGUGGGGAGCAAACAGG